Molecule: long non-coding RNA, 567 nt
Filed under: Nicotiana benthamiana
Lineage: Eukaryota; Viridiplantae; Streptophyta; Magnoliopsida; Solanales; Solanaceae
Description: long non-coding RNA (NBEN_LNC036138)
Source: RNAcentral
GGAACACAACCUGGAGAAGGGCAAUACUUUGCCGAUUUUGUCCAACGACAGAGGAGGCAUCUUCCUUCUCCAAUUUAACCUAAAUAAAAUCUUUCGUUCCUUAUUUUUGCGGGAUAGGACAAGGUAAUUUACUUUUUCAUUUCCCUUCUGCUUUAGUUCUUUGGCAUCACCAAAACGGCCCUAAAACUAUUUUCUGCGACUUUGCAAGGACGGGCAAACAAUUCUCAAGCGGCAGAGAUAGAGGCACUUCUAUACGACUCUGCGAGUUCAUGUGGAUGGUAGGCCUUAUUAAUUUGGAAUUUUCUUUCAUCGUUGCUUAUGGAAUCAUGGUCCGAAUUCGAUGGGUCAUCGGAAAAUUGUCAACUAAAAUAGGUCGUCUGAAGUUUGAGGUUGAGCAAUUUGAAGAUUUUGUUACCUUUUUUAAGAGCAUUUCAAUGUAUCUCGCUGUAUUUUUUGUAUUUCGUUGUAUUUCGUUGUAUUCACUAAUUUUUUUGUCAUUGUAAUUCAAUGUAUCUUGUUGUAUUCCAUGUAUUUCAUUGUAUUUAGUGCCUUUUUUCUCAUUGUAUU